This 510-nucleotide ribosomal RNA is filed under the name uncultured bacterium. RNAcentral's name for it is "bacterial SSU rRNA". It matches the Rfam family "Bacterial small subunit ribosomal RNA", at positions 19 to 518 of the family's 1533-position model. The record is from RNAcentral.
CUGGCUCAGGAUGAACGCUAGCUACAGGCUUAACACAUGCAAGUCGUGGGGCAGCAUAUAGAUAGCUUGCUAUUAUGAUGGCGACCGGCGCACGGGUGAGUAACGCGUAUCCAACCUUCCCCAUAGUAGGGUAUAGCCCGGCGAAAGUCGGAUUAAUCCCCUAUGUUGUUUGAAGCGGACAUCUAAUUCAAACCAAAGAUUCAUCGCUAUGGGAUGGGGAUGCGUCUGAUUAGGUUGCAGGCGGGGUAACGGCCCACCUGGCCGACGAUCAGUAGGGGUUCUGAGAGGAAGGUCCCCCACACUGGUACUGAGACACGGACCAGACUCCUACGGGAGGCAGCAGUGAGGAAUAUUGGUCAAUGGGCGCGAGCCUGAACCAGCCAAGUAGCGUGCAGGAAUGACGGCCCUACGGGUUGUAAACUGCUUUUAUGCGGGGAUAAAGUGCGGCACGUGUGCCGUUUUGCAGGUACCGCAUGAAUAAGGACCGGCUAAUUCCGUGCCAGCAGCAGC